CAGGAACAGAGCAUUCUGUCCCUCCUGGAGAGGGUCUUGUUGGGACUCAGGACCCCGGUUGGACUACUUUAUCCAUCAGGAUCUUAAAGUGAGAGAGCUGGUUGACCCAAGUUUGCUACAAGCAACGCACUAAGAGGGACCCAAUACCAAAAUAUAAGCAAAUGGGGCUUAUAUACUGUAUAUGUCCAGUAAUAAUAUAUACCUCUUCCUAAUGAGUGAAUGGAUGACCUUCCUGGAGUGAACGCAUGACUCUCUGUGAGUGAACAGAUGACCCUCUAAGCGUGAAUAGACGAUCUUCUGGGAGUGAAGAGACGAUCUUCUGGGAGUGAACAGAUGACCCUCUGAGAGUGAACAGACGAUCUUCUGGGAGUGAACAGAUGACCUUCAGGAGUGAAUGAAAGACCUUCCUGGAGUGAACGGAUGACCUUCUGGGAGUGAAUGCAUGACCCUCUGUGAGUGAACAGAUGACCCUCUGAGAAUGAACAGACGAUCUUCUGGGAGUGAACAGAUGACCCUCUGAGCGUGAACAGACUAUCUUCUGGAAGUGAACGGAUGACCUUCAGGAAGUGAACGAAAGACCUUCCCGGAGUGAACGGAUGACCCUCUGAAAGUGAACAGAUGACCUUCUACAGGGGAUACACACGGUGCAAUUCUGCCUAGGUGGCAGAUUUGCACUAUGCGAUUUCCCUUGAUCACCCAAGAACCAAACGCCACCGUUAAUCACUAUACACACGGUACGAUUUUGGAUCUGGUCAGUUUUGACUAUACAGUGUACUAGGUUAUACACUUUAUAGUCAAAAUUAGACUGCCAGCACGGUCUAUUUUUACUUGCGAUGCCGACCCUGCGGGAGUGCGCAUCUGCAUCGCAAGUUGUAUACACACGGUGCGAUAUGUGGACCUUUGAUCACUUUCUAUGGUCAGCAGAGAGCUUUGAUGAUAACAUUAUGUGUAGGAUGUUAAUUAUUUUGCCAUCCUACUCAAUAUCUAUGCAGACCAGGCUGGUGCUGAUUAUGGCUCACUAGUUGUUUUCUAGUACAGUAUUAGUGAUGUCUACUGAUUAGGAAUUUUAAGAGAGGGACUCACUCAUAAAUAAAUAACAAUAAGACAGUCAUCAUCAGCAAUUUUAUUUUAUUUUUUACCCUAGAACCGCUCAAACAGGAAGAAGUUGAUGCUGAUGACUACUGUACAUUGCUUCUAAAGUAGAAACUUAUAAUGGUGACGGGCCUAUUAUUGUUCCUGAUGCAUCUACUGU
Long non-coding RNA from Pseudophryne corroboree (corroboree frog), 1252 nucleotides. RefSeq lists it as uncharacterized. NCBI's taxonomy places the organism in Eukaryota, Metazoa, Chordata, Amphibia, Anura, Myobatrachidae. The record is from RefSeq and is a predicted model, not a curated record. The transcript is spliced from 3 exons.